Vigna unguiculata (cowpea) is the source of this 720-nucleotide long non-coding RNA. The record is from RefSeq and is a predicted model, not a curated record. NCBI's taxonomy places the organism in Eukaryota, Viridiplantae, Streptophyta, Magnoliopsida, Fabales, Fabaceae.
UAUUAAUCAGGAAGGAACUGUUCAGUUCUGAACUUGAAUGCUGUGUGCGGUGUGGGUUGUUGUAUUUCCCCAAACGAAACCAUUUCUAUUGUUUCACCCAUCGCUCAUGGUUCUUCUCUUUCCUUCGCGCGAUCGCAAAAUGUUUGAUGGGCUUAGUGUGAUAACCCCGCGAGUAGCCACAAAUUACAACUAUGUGCUGGCUAGAAUGGAUUCCAACAACUAGCAGAUUGAUGAGCAACAACCAGUCAAAUCAGCAUCAAGAGUCUCAUUCUGCCAAAGAAAGAAGUCUGACAAUGGAAGCUUCGUGUCCAAUUUAGGAUAUCACUUUCAUGAGUUCAUACAAGCAUCCGCAGACGAACACAAGACGUGCUUGAGAAAUACAAUUCAAAAGAUAUUAGAUGCAUCAAACUUUUUUGGGAAAAAUGAUCGCAGCACAAAUGAAGGUGACUCUGUACCCCUUCACAAAUCUACAAAAGACUAGAAGGCUUUCUUGAAUCAUCAUCAAUAAAGUGAUAAGAGAGUUUAUAAGACACCCGUAGCCUUAUAGAAUGCAUGCUUUUGCUUUAAACAGGAAUAAUAUAUGUGAUGUGAUGCUUUAUGUUUCACUGCCUAGUUGUUUGUUCAUUUGUUAACUACUUAAACCCACAUAGUCAUACAAUAGAUAAAUUGUAGAAGCUUUCUUAUAUUAAUUUAUCCAAAAUAUGAUUUAAAUUUAGUUUA